RNAcentral lists this ribosomal RNA (439 nucleotides) under uncultured bacterium. Its description in RNAcentral is "partial 16S ribosomal RNA". It matches the Rfam family "Bacterial small subunit ribosomal RNA", at positions 339 to 795 of the family's 1533-position model. The record is from RNAcentral.
CUACGGGUCGAUGCAGUGAGGAAUAUUGCACAAUGGGGGGAACCCCGAUGCAGCAACGCCGCGUGGAGGAUGACGCAUUUCGGUGUGUAAACUCCUUUUAUAUGUCAAGAAAAUGACGGUAGCAUAUGAAUAAGCACCGGCUAACUCCGUGCCAGCAGCCGCGGUAAUACGGAGGGUGCAAGCGUUACUCGGAAUCACUGGGCGUAAAGGACGCGUAGGCGGGUUGGAAAGUCAGGUGUGAAAUCCUACAGCUUAACUGUAGAACUGCACUUGAAACUUCUAAUCUAGAGUAUGGGAGGGGGAGAUGGAAUUAGUGGUGUAGGGGUAAAAUCCGUAGAUAUCACUAGGAAUACCUAAAGCGAAGGCGAUCUCCUGGAACAUUACUGACGCUAAGGCGUGAAAGCGUGGGGAGCAAACAGGAUUAGAUACCCGCGUAGUC